RNAcentral lists this unclassified non-coding RNA (181 nucleotides) under uncultured Tubeufia. Its description in RNAcentral is "sequence contains ITS1". Lineage: Eukaryota; Fungi; Ascomycota; Dothideomycetes; Tubeufiales; Tubeufiaceae. The record is from RNAcentral.
CUGAGUAAAUUGGGUCUCUAUGGCCCAUACUCCCACCCUUUUGUGUACCUUACCAAAUUUUUAAGUUGCCUUGGUAGGAACCUACCCUCCCUCUCUUAAUUGAGAAAGGUAGGCCUACCAUUGGAACUCUUUUAAAACUCUUUUUGAAUUGAGUCGUCUGAGAAUAAAUUCAAAUGAAUUA